Molecule: long non-coding RNA, 970 nt
Organism: Gossypium arboreum
Lineage: Eukaryota; Viridiplantae; Streptophyta; Magnoliopsida; Malvales; Malvaceae
Exons: 2
Source: RefSeq, a predicted model, not a curated record
AAAAUAAUAUUCAUACAAAAAUAACAUUGGUAAAUUUAAAAGCUUUUUUCUUUUUAAUCCUAAGACUGAGGUGGUAAAUUUCCAUAAACAUGAUGGAAGCACCUCUGAAGGUAAGGAAAAUGAAAAUGGCGGCGAUAUUGAAGAAACCAAAAAUGCUAAUAUUAACCCCAGUUAACCCCUCCAAAAACCUUGCUCAAACCCUCUUAUUCCCAUCAAUCUAUUCAUUUGCAGCAAAACCCAAGCCCAUAAACUAUCCCAAAUUCUCCUUCUCGGUUAUUUGCAGCCAAAGCCAACAAAAAUAUCCACCUUUCGAUUCUUUGCUCAACUCUUAUCGUAAAGAAGAAGUUCGUUUCACCAUAAAAGACAAGACUCAAUUCACAGUUGUUUAUCAGAGACUAAUCUUCAUUUGAUAGCUUCUGGUCUGAAAUCCAAAACUAGAGGCAAGGUUAGAGAUAUAUAUGAUGGCGGGGGUUAUCUUGUAUUAGUGACUACUGAUCGUCAAAGUGCAUUUGAUAGGAUUCUUGCCUCUAUCCCAUUCAAGGGCCAGGUUUUUAUACUUGCUACUUUGUUGAUGAUGGUGAAUAUUUAUAGUAGUAAUUGAGAUGAAGGGAUUAUUGUUGGGAUGUCAAUUUUCUGGUUCUUAAUGAGACAAGUUUGUGGUGGUUUAAUAGAACACGACAUAUAACUCCAGAUGCUGUUUUCUCAGUACCAUAUAAAAAUGUUGCAACUGCUAAGAAAGGUUCUGUCUUUCCUAUUGAAUUUGUUGGUAAGUUUCUUUCAUAUUCUCAUAUUUCAUUUUGCCAUAAAGAUGGGAUAAUUUCAUAAGAUAUGGAAGAUAAAAGGCCUGUUUGGUGUGGUUAUUAUGUAUAAAUGUUGAUGAUUAAAAUUACCUUUAUGCUAAUUUUAAAAGUUGUUAUGAUUAGCUGUUUGGUGACAAAAAAUAAAAUAAAAUUGAAUAGUUGUUUGAUAA